Molecule: small nucleolar RNA, 130 nt
Organism: Microtus ochrogaster (prairie vole)
Lineage: Eukaryota; Metazoa; Chordata; Mammalia; Rodentia; Cricetidae
Product: predicted gene, 22488
Source: Ensembl
GGGGUGUGCUCAGAGCAGGGGGCCCAGAGAAUGGCUUCUCUGUUUAUAACACACCCAAGAAGAAUCUGGGGCCAUUGUGAUGAGGGGCACACAGCACUGUGUCCUCUCUGUGAGCAGAUCCCCUACAUGC